RNAcentral lists this unclassified non-coding RNA (170 nucleotides) under soil metagenome. Its description in RNAcentral is "partial internal transcribed spacer 1". The record is from RNAcentral.
CCGAAGUACAGGCCCUUUUAUAGGGCUAAACUUCCACCCUUUGUUACUAUUCUUUGUUGCUUUGGCGGGACGUCUUCGGACCACCGGCUCUCGGGCUGGUGAGCGCUCGCCAGAGGAAAAUCAAACCCAAACCUUUUUUAGUGUUGUCUGAGAAACAAGUUUAAUUAUUA